Molecule: non-coding RNA, 60 nt
Filed under: Paramaledivibacter caminithermalis DSM 15212
Lineage: Bacteria; Bacillati; Bacillota; Clostridia; Peptostreptococcales; Caminicellaceae
Description: Bacterial small subunit ribosomal RNA
Rfam family: Bacterial small subunit ribosomal RNA
Source: Rfam by way of RNAcentral
CUAUUUAAGAGUUUGAUCCUGGCUCAGGAUGAACGCUGGCGGCGUGCUUAACACAUGCAA